Molecule: ribosomal RNA, 253 nt
Filed under: uncultured bacterium
Lineage: Bacteria
Description: partial 16S ribosomal RNA
Rfam family: Bacterial small subunit ribosomal RNA
Source: RNAcentral
UACGUAGGGGGCCAGCGUUGUUCGGAAUUACUGGGUGUAAAGGGUUCGUAGGCGGUGCGGCAAGUUGGGAGUGAAAUCUCUGGGCUCAACCCAGAGACGGCUUCCAAAACUGCUGUGCUUGAGUGUGGGAGAGGCUCGUGGAAUUGCAGGUGUAGCGGUGAAAUGCGUAGAUAUCUGCAGGAACACCCGUGGCGAAAGCGGCGAGCUGGACCGCUACUGACGCUGAAGAACGAAAGCUAGGGGAGCAAACAGG